AUAUAAAUGAUGAUUUAGUUUCUACGUAUCACGACGGUCUUCUGACAAAACACAUGGAGAUGGUAGAACGUUCUGAUAUU
Small nucleolar RNA from Piliocolobus tephrosceles (Ugandan red Colobus), 80 nucleotides. The record is from Ensembl. Lineage: Eukaryota; Metazoa; Chordata; Mammalia; Primates; Cercopithecidae.